Molecule: long non-coding RNA, 433 nt
Filed under: Mytilus galloprovincialis (Mediterranean mussel)
Lineage: Eukaryota; Metazoa; Mollusca; Bivalvia; Mytilida; Mytilidae
Source: RNAcentral
UUUCCCAAAUGUGCAAUCGAAUUAUUAUGCCUCUGUCAUUAUUUAUACAUGUAUCUUUUACGAGACACAACUAUUUUCGUCGGAAAGCUCUUCACUUCAUAUUAUGACGUAAAUUAUACACCAGUGUCAGAAUCUUUAUUACAUGUAUCUCCCUUUACCGGAAUUAUUCGCCUUGUAUUUGUAAUAAUUAUGCAAAAAUGAUACCCAGUGAAUUCGUUUUUUCCCUUUCAUUGGACGCUUUUUCACAGGCCACAUUUCAGAUCACCAAAUCUCCUGAUUUAGUAAUUAAUGGCAUGAGCGACUCAAAAACACGUUCCAGUUUCUCACAUGAUUUUCAUUGAGACGUUGUGGUCAUAAAUAUUCUUAUGAAUGACUUAUCUGAUAUAAGUGGAUUAAUCAUUCGAUAUAUUUAAUCAAUUCAAACAGUCGUCUG